Molecule: ribosomal RNA, 465 nt
Filed under: uncultured bacterium
Lineage: Bacteria
Description: partial 16S ribosomal RNA
Rfam family: Bacterial small subunit ribosomal RNA
Source: RNAcentral
GACGAACGCUGGCGGCGUGCUUAACACAUGCAAGUCGAACGGAAAGGCCCUGCUUGCAGGGUACUCGAGUGGCGAACGGGUGAGUAACACGUGGGUGAUCUGCCCUGCACUUCGGGAUAAGCCUGGGAAACUGGGUCUCAUACCGGAUAGGAGCCAUUUUUAGUGUGAUGGUUGGAAAGUUUUUUCGGUGUAGGAUGAGCUCGCGGCCUAUCAGCUUGUUGGUGGGGUAAUGGCCUACCAAGGCGGCGACGGGUAGCCGGCCUGAGAGGGUGGACGGCCACAUUGGGGCUGAGAUACGGCCCAGACUCCUACGGGAGGCAGCAGUGGGGAAUAUUGCACAAUGGGCGCAAGCCUGAUGCAGCGACGCCGCGUGGGGGAUGACGGCCUUCGGGUUGUAAACUCCUUUCGCUAGGGACGAAGCUUUUAGUGACGGUACCUAGAGAAGAAGCACCGGCUAACUACGUG